Molecule: non-coding RNA, 3185 nt
Organism: Lonchura striata (white-rumped munia)
Lineage: Eukaryota; Metazoa; Chordata; Aves; Passeriformes; Estrildidae
Source: RefSeq, a predicted model, not a curated record
UAAUUUUAUUUCCUGAAGGCACAGACUGAAGCAAUAUUAGAAGCAGACUGCACUGGCCUGUAGAAAACUCACAGUGUUGGAUUUUUUUUUUUCCACUGCUUGCCAAAGCCUCUGACAUCAACCUUACCCCAACAGGGAGCCAGAGGAAGGAGAGGGAGGUGCAAUGGCAGAUGGCAACCCACAAGGAGGCGAGAACUGCAUACUGCACUUUGGCACUCCAUGACAAGGACAACUUUACAGUAACCUACUUUGCUUAUAAAUCGAAUGAGGAUUAUUUGCUAUUUACCCCACCCCCACCCCUAUGUUUGGUCAGAUCACUGCAAGACAGGCAAAAAAAAUCUAAUUAAUUAAUUGACUUAGCUCUGCCAAGCUGUAUUUCUAAUGCUGGGAGGACAUAAGAGAACUGAUUUUAAUAUAGUUAAGCCAGACAUUGUGGAAUUUCAGGCUUUGAUAGGGUUUCAAUGUGUAGAUGAGCUGGGGGACAAAUUUGCCUACCCAGUAAAGGAGCAGUGAGUUUCUCUAUUACCUGGCCUGAAUGCCCCAGAAAUCUGCAGAAACCCAACAGAGGUUUUGCAAUGCUUUCUCCUUGUCUUUGCCUUCAAGCAAAAGCAUGUUCACUGGAGACAGACAACAGAGACAAUUUCAUCUGCAAGCACAGAUUAUGCCUAGGAGUCAAGAGGAGGCAGCUGCACUCCUACCUUUUGUGCUCUUGGGAAACUCAUGCCAAUGCCAAGAAACUGCAGGAGCAGCUCCAGCACUGUUACACAGCCACCUUCACUCAGAAGUGUUGUGUUCUCUAAAAACCAGCUGUUUUCCACACCAAGCCAUGAAGUGGGACCACCUGAUGUCCCAGGCCACCUCAGACAAGUUAGACAGCAUGGCAAGGGUUGCAAAUGGAGAGGCGUCCACCUCUCUGCUGUGAUUGUCUAUCAAUAUAUUGCCAAUUUUUUCACAGAUCUUUGGUUAUGCCACUGUACAUGGACUUGUAUCUUCAGAAACCUUGUCUGUGCAAGAUCUGCCAAACCUAGUGACUGUGAGGAUGUCUGCAUACCUUUUCGCAGGACAACAAGGUCUGAGCUGAAUUAAGCUAAUAUUGUAGGUGCCAUGCCUGUAGAAAUAAAAGGAACCUCAAGAAAUGCCAUGAGUCAAUCCCAAUGUUUAAAAACUGGAGGUAAACAAUAAGCAAAAUGACUGCUACUGAAAUAGAUGUUAAUGUAAUGAUUGUUUAAAGGAAGGCUUUGGAUUUUUUUCUUUACAAAGUUAAAACUGGUACAGAGUUUAAAUGGUGAUCCUCACUGCCAUUUCUGUCUGCAUCUGCAUCCUGUGUCCAUCUGUCUGACUUCCCAGUUUCACAGAAAGCCGUGCCUGGGGAUGAGAGAAGAAGACCCCACCUGAGUGCCGGCUGCACUUCCCCUGCAAACUGGAGACAAAGUUCCCCAUGCCAAUGCUCAGCUCCUCAGUGCAGUGCCCUUUUCCUCUAUGGAAGACAGGAUGGCAAGGGCAGAGGAUGCAAACACCUUUCCUAAAAUCAGCAAUUGGCUUAAUUUCCUGCUUCAAUGCUACUGUUGGAAAGGAAAAUCAAAGCUGCGUAUUAAAGAAGUGUAAGCAAGCAAAUGUGUUAAAUGGUGCCCUAAGUCUGUGAAUGCAGUGGGUGAGAGCAGAACCUGUUUAUAAACUGCAGUGACUGUGCUGCCUGGAGAUGACUUCAUGCCUGAAGAACUCUUGUAACCUUUUUCAAUCGAUGCUUUUCUUUUUCUCUCACAUAAAUGUCACAUAAGGACAUACACCGCAUUACAUGAAUGUCAGAAAUACUGCCCAGCUAUUGUGCUUCCUUUGUUUCCCUCUUCCCUCAAAAGUGAGGCUUUUCUUUUUUCUGCAUGCAAACAAAAAUGGGAUUUGAUGACAAAAAUCUAAUAAUCAAUCAAGUCUUUCUUUACCAUUAAGAUUUUCAUAAGAAAUGAUAAGCAGACAUACAAGUGCAGCUUUUUGCUAGGAUGAUCACAGAGAUGUAUGUUCACAGUAUAAUGAAGAUUAAUCAUCACUUUAUCAAACGACAUGCAUUUUUUAAAGCACCUCAAUAAAAUAACAGCCUAGGUUCUGUAGAAGUGUCUGAGCCAAAGAUGUGCUGGCAUCCUCUCUUCCCUGAAAGGCCCUGCCUUCUUGCUCACCCAUACCCAUGCUGCUCCAGGCCCUGUGCCCCUACAGCCUCUCUACCCUGGGUAUCCUGCCAUGCUCCCACAUCCCAGCAGAGACUUGCUGCUGCAGCAAGGGCAGCCAGCAUCUGAACCUUCUAAAGAGUCUUGUAAACCCAAAUAUAUAUUGGUGCUAUCAGCUAAAAAUCUACCCUGCUUUAAGAUGGAUUGAUUCUGAAAUUCUUUGAAUUUCAAGGCCAUAAAAUCUUUCUGCACCAGUAAAACUGAAUGCAAUUCACAUGUAGAUUGGUGGAGUUCAGAUACCUUUUUCUUGAGGCCUGUGUUUGCCCACCACUAAAGGAGCAGAAAGACUCCUGCUUGCCCUUUGCAAGCAGCUCUGCCCAAACAUCUGCUGUGACCCUGCCAGGGCAGGGGUCCAGAGGGAAGCCUUAGUAGCUCUUCCUGUGCUCUUCCCACCAAAGCCCAUGGGAUACCUUCCUGAAAUAAAUAUCUGUCUACUACUGGUGGGAUAUUUCAGUCUGCUUGCUCCUGCUUUGCUCUGAAAUAAUUUCUUCAGCAACAGCUCAGCCUGAAAGCAUUUGGAGAUUUGCCAGACUGAGAACCGACUUUAAAAAAUGCAGAUUUUGGCCCUAAUGUUUUUACAUGUAAUAGAUAAUUUCAUUCAUAUUUCUCUCUCUGUCUCUGAUCAUACGCUACCAUAGAAUGCUUGAAAAUAAAAAAGCAUAAGGUGCUCUGAGGGAUUUCUAGGCCUCUUGACAUGGCCAUUUUUAAGAUAAUAUCAGGAGACAAUAGAAAGCAUAAUCAUUAACUACCUGCUAGUGAUUUCAGACCUUCUGUUCUCUUGGGUUAAUGUAUGAUUCAAUCAGCACAAAUGGAGGUCUUCAAUAUGCCCUUUUACUGGGAUUAAAUUCUGGUUACAUUUUGACAGCCAUACAGACUUCAAACAAAUCCAGUGAUCUAUAUGCAUAAUAUGGUAAUUGUGAUAAACUGAAAUUGAAAAAGAUACUGAUAAUUAUAUGUGGUUAAAAUGGC